This 654-nucleotide long non-coding RNA is filed under the name Hordeum vulgare. Its description in RNAcentral is "long non-coding RNA (HVUL_LNC004651)". The record is from RNAcentral. Lineage: Eukaryota; Viridiplantae; Streptophyta; Magnoliopsida; Poales; Poaceae.
CCUAUAUAAGGGGGUUUCUUCUUCCUCCCCUUAUCUCUUACCUCUCUCUCUCCUCCAUUGAUGCACUCAAGCUUUCUUGCCCGAUCUCUCUCCUUAGCCACCCAAACUUGUUGCCGUGCUAGGGAUUGAAGGAGAAGACCUAGAUCUACACUUCCACCAAAGGAAAAUUGAUUCCCCCAAGUUCUUGUGUGGAUUUUAUUACUCUUGGGUGUUUGAGCACCCUAGAUGGAAGAGGUCACGUCGGAACCACAUUGCAUUGUGGUGAAGCUUCGUGGUUUUGUUGGGAGCCUCCAAUUAAGUUGUGGAGAGAGCCCCAACCUUGUUGUAAAGGUCUGGUUGCCACCUUCAAGGGCAUCACUUACGGUGGCCUUGGUGGUAUCUUGGGGAGCAUUGUGCCUCCACACCGCUCCUACAGAGAUGUACUAACCUUCAAAGGGAAGGAACUUCGGGAACACAUCCUCGUCUUCAUCGGUUCCACUUGUGGUUAUUUCUUAUCUUUACUUGUAUUUACUCAUUCCUUAUUAUUGUUGUUGUUAUCAUCAUAUAGGUUGCUCGCCUAGUUGCAUAUCUAGACAACCUAUUUGGUGCUAAACCUAAUUUGUUUAAAGAAAAGCUUAAAAUAUGCUAGUUGCCUAUUCACCCCCCUCUAGUCAA